CCAAGGAUGUCAACUGUGGAGCACAUACAGGAUGCAGAGCACAGUGAUGACGUAUCACCAUGGCAACACGUAUCGCUCAACAUCACUUGAAUGAGAUUGUACCGUACCUGACAUCAUUAAUUGUAAAGAGCGCCACCUGUUGUUUGGUUAUCGAUCAACAUUAAUGCAGCAGAUAAUGCAGCGGUAGGCUAUAUAGGCCUGUACGUCAGAGUUACUUCAACAACGACGAUAGGUUCAACUACAACUAUGCGCAGGCCAAAGCCACA
Long non-coding RNA from Patiria miniata (bat star), 266 nucleotides. RefSeq lists it as uncharacterized. The transcript is spliced from 2 exons. NCBI's taxonomy places the organism in Eukaryota, Metazoa, Echinodermata, Asteroidea, Valvatida, Asterinidae. The record is from RefSeq and is a predicted model, not a curated record.